Molecule: long non-coding RNA, 919 nt
Organism: Acanthopagrus latus (yellowfin seabream)
Lineage: Eukaryota; Metazoa; Chordata; Actinopteri; Spariformes; Sparidae
Exons: 2
Source: RefSeq, a predicted model, not a curated record
GUCAGUGAGUCCAGCUGAACGGGUGGAGGAAGUGAGGAAACCGGCUGACCUCCGUCCCAUUGGACCAGAAAGUACCGAGCGGACCGUCAUCAGCCGGGAGGAAACGUCUCUGUGGGAACCUCUCCGGCGUCAGGAGGAAAACAGUCUGUAUUGUUUUAAACGUUCACAAAUUCAAAGAUCAAAGAGAAAUAAAACAAAUAAGAUCAAGAGAAAAACUCUUUUCAUUCUUUCUAUUGAACUUAAAGUUGCAAAUUUUGUAUUUUUCAAAUUAAGAUGUUAACAUACACAACAUAUGAACUGCUCAUGUAUUUGUUUAUCUGUAUAAAUGUAUGUACAUCUUUAAUUAUAAGUUCAUUAACCAAUUAGUCAAUUGACAGAAAUGAUUUUAAUUUUCGCUCCAGCUUCACAGAUGAUUUUUGCUGCUUUUCCUUUAAUAUUUUGACUAAAUUUUUGAUAAUGCUGAUGUUUGUGCUGCUAUAAACAAUGUGAAGAUGUUCCUGAGCACGACUGAAGCACCGACUGCAGGGUCGUUCAUCACAUGUGAGAGAUAACGGUGAUCAUGAAACAAACGAUCGAGUGUGGUGGAUAGCAAAACAUUCAUUCUUUAUUGACUGGAAAAAUACAGGGACCAAAAGAAAAAAAAACAAAAGAAAAAAAACAACAAAUGUGCAGUCAAAAUGAUCCCCAGACACCCAUGAUUAAAAUCCCCAAAGCGACUUCAUUUCAUCUCAAAAAAAUUACAGAGUUAAUGUGCAGCAAGUAAAGCGCUAUGUUAAGUCAUGCCACGAAGCAGAGGAGGGCUGAGGGGGUUGGGUGGAGGGGUGAGGGCGGGUAAGUAAAGGAGGGGAAAGGCCAGCCAUUUAGGUGGUACGGGGGCAUCGUGAGUCAAAGCCACAACACAAGAGAAGCAUCAUCAUCA